Molecule: unclassified non-coding RNA, 218 nt
Filed under: Hevea brasiliensis (rubber tree)
Lineage: Eukaryota; Viridiplantae; Streptophyta; Magnoliopsida; Malpighiales; Euphorbiaceae
Source: RNAcentral
GAAUCUUGAGAAUUUGAAAUUGUGGAAAUUGUAGCGGCGAAGUAAGAAAAGGGGGUUAUUGGUAAAGACUCAGCUUGUAUAAUGGAACGAGUGGCGGCUGCAAUAGCACAGAGAUGACGAUGUUGGGGUGCUGAGGAUUUGCCGUAACGUUGGAGGAGUUGUUGGCAUAUGUCGGAAUUGUCAUUGAAGACAUUGUUGUUGUCUUGAGGAUCCAUUAA